GUCAUUCGCUAUGCAUAUCCAAUAGAUUACAAAUCUCAAUUUCACGGCUUUUGUGUGUCAUAGUGUGGUGCCAAGGUAUACUAAUUAUGAUGUUGUUGCGAUUUUAAAUUGUUGCUUCCACCUACCUAACCAUCACAUCAAGCUAUGAUAAUAUAAUUUGAAAAAAAAGUUUCAAGUAUAAAUUUAAAAGUAUCAAACCAAAGCCAGAAGGUUAGUGUAGGUGGGAGUAAAGCUGACUUAAUUCAAUUUAAACAAUCAUUAAACAAUGACGAUGACAGGGUUAGCAGAAAAUAUUACUGAAAGAACCAAUCAGCCAAUUGUGAAGGAACAGAAAAGGAUUGGUUUCAUAAAUUAUUCGGCAAUUUUAUUCGUCAGAGUUUUCGAUUGGCUUUUGAAUUCAAGGUUAUUUAUAUGAAUGUGAAACUUUUGUUUAUGAAUAAAUUUUGUUCAUUAUAUGAAUGUCGGAAGUGACAUUAAA
Molecule: long non-coding RNA, 478 nt
Organism: Eupeodes corollae
Lineage: Eukaryota; Metazoa; Arthropoda; Insecta; Diptera; Syrphidae
Exons: 2
Source: RefSeq, a predicted model, not a curated record